This 182-nucleotide ribosomal RNA is filed under the name Lachnospiraceae bacterium. RNAcentral describes it as "partial 23S ribosomal RNA". It matches the Rfam family "Bacterial large subunit ribosomal RNA", at positions 2742 to 2925 of the family's 2925-position model. Lineage: Bacteria; Bacillati; Bacillota; Clostridia; Lachnospirales; Lachnospiraceae. The record is from RNAcentral.
CGAGUAGCCAAGUCGGGAAGGGAUGAACGCUGAAGGCAUCUAAGCGUGAAGCCCCCCUCAAGAUGAGAUAUCCCAUACGAAAGUAGUAAGACCCCUUGAAGACGACGAGGUUGAUAGGGCAGAGGUGGAAGCACGGUAACGUGUGGAGCUGACUGUCACUAAUAGGUCGAGGGCUUAACCAA